UGGGGAAUAUUGCGCUAAUGCGCGAAAGCGUGACGCAGCGACGCCGCGUGGGGGAUGAAGGCCCUCGGGUUGUAAACCCCUUUCGCCAGGGACGAAGCGAAAGUGACGGUACCUGGAGAAGAAGUCCCGGCUAACUACGUGCCAGCAGCCGCGGUAACACGUAGGGGACGAGCGUUGUCCGGAUUCAUUGGGCGUAAAGCGCGCGUAGGCGGUCGUGCAAGUCGGUCGUGAAAUCCCGGGGCUCAACCCCGGGACUGCGUCCGAUACUGCACGACUGGAGGCAGGUAGGGGAGAUCGGAAUUCCUGGUGUAGCGGUGAAAUGCGCAGAUAUCAGGAGGAACACCGGUGGCGAAGGCGGAUCUCUGGGCCUUGCCUGACGCUGAGGCGCGAAAGCUAGGGGAGCGAACAGG
This 410-nucleotide ribosomal RNA is filed under the name uncultured Actinomycetes bacterium. RNAcentral describes it as "bacterial SSU rRNA". It matches the Rfam family "Bacterial small subunit ribosomal RNA", at positions 355 to 776 of the family's 1533-position model. Lineage: Bacteria; Bacillati; Actinomycetota; Actinomycetes. The record is from RNAcentral.